Molecule: small nuclear RNA, 123 nt
Organism: Rattus norvegicus (Norway rat)
Lineage: Eukaryota; Metazoa; Chordata; Mammalia; Rodentia; Muridae
Product: U4 spliceosomal RNA
Source: Ensembl
AGCUUUGCGCAGUGGCAGUAUCGUAGCCAAUGAGGUUUAUCCGAGGCGCGAUUAUUGCUAAUUGAAACAUAAUAGGUUACACAGACAAUUAAUGGUAAAUCCUCUCAGCCCCUGCCCAAGGGU